GUGAGUCAUCGAAUCUUUGAACGCACCUUGCGCUCUCUGGUAUUCCGGAGAGCAUGUCUGUUUGAGUGUCAUGAAUUUAUCAACCCUCUGGUUUCUUAUAAACCAAGUUGGUGUUUGGAUCUUGAGCGUUUGCUAAAUUAUUUAGCUCGUUCGUAAUACAUUAGCAUUUCAAUUCCAUUGUUCGGAUUGACUCAGCGUAAUAGACUAUUCGCUGAGGACACUUUCGAGUGUCCGAAUGAAGAAAAUAAAAUGCUUAUAAAUCUUUAGUCAUUUAAGAUUAGACCUCAGAUCAGGCAGGAUUACCCGCUGAACUUAA
RNAcentral lists this ribosomal RNA (316 nucleotides) under uncultured fungus. Its description in RNAcentral is "eukaryotic LSU rRNA". The stretch from base 1 to 71 matches the Rfam family "5.8S ribosomal RNA", at positions 84 to 154 of the family's 154-position model. Lineage: Eukaryota; Fungi. The record is from RNAcentral.